GAUGAAGAACGUAGCGAAAUGCGAUAAGUAGUGUGAAUUGCAGAAUUCAGUGAAUCAUCGAAUCUUUGAACGCACAUUGCGCCCCUUGGUGUUCCAUGGGGCAUGCCUGUUCGAGCGUCAUUUGUACCUUCAAGCUCUGCUUGGUGUUGGGUGUUUGUCUCGCCUCUGCGUGUAGACUCGCCUCAAAACAAUUGGCAGCCGGCGUAUUGAUUUCGGAGCGCAGUACAUCUCGCGCUUUGCACUCAUAACGACGACGUCCAAAAGUACAUUUUUACACUCUUGACCUCGGAUCAGGUAGGGAUACCCGCUGAACUUAAGCAUAUCAAUAAGCGGAGGA
This 337-nucleotide unclassified non-coding RNA is filed under the name soil metagenome. Its description in RNAcentral is "partial contains 5.8S ribosomal RNA, internal transcribed spacer 2, and large subunit ribosomal RNA". The stretch from base 1 to 120 matches the Rfam family "5.8S ribosomal RNA", at positions 35 to 154 of the family's 154-position model. The record is from RNAcentral.